AGGAAGCCCCGGCUAACUCCGUGCCAGCAGCCGCGGUAAGACGGAGGGGGCAAGCGUUGUUCGGAAUUACUGGGCGUAAAGCGCUCGUAGGCGGUUGAUUACGCGAGCAGUGAAAGCCCUGGGCUUAACCCAGGCCGUGCUGUUCGAACGGGUCGACUAGAGUGCCGGAGGGGAAGGCGGAAUUCCUGGUGGAGCGGUGAAAUGCGUAGAGAUCAGGAAGAACGUCGGUGGCGAAGGCGGCCUUCUGGACGGACACUGACGCUGAGGGGCGACAGCGUGGGGAGCGAACGGGAUUAGAUACCCCGGUAGUCCACGCCGUAAACGAUGGACACUAGGUGUGGGAUUGCAGAGCGAUUCCGUGCCGGAGCUAACGCA
This 375-nucleotide ribosomal RNA is filed under the name uncultured bacterium. Its description in RNAcentral is "bacterial SSU rRNA". It matches the Rfam family "Bacterial small subunit ribosomal RNA", at positions 485 to 859 of the family's 1533-position model. The record is from RNAcentral.